GGACUCCCCAAUGAGGUCACUCAGAAUCCAGGGGCCCUUUCAGGCCUUUCUCCUGGCCCCACCCUCCCUCUCAUCUAAGCUCUCAUAGGGAUGGGGUUCCCCUCAGGGGGAUGAGGAUCUGCUGGGCUGGUCGGCCUGGCCCUGUUUUUCAGGAAUUCCUCCUGGAGGCAUUGAUGGUGACAUCCGAGAGCACUGACGGUGACCAUGACAAAGCUGGGAAAAGGGCCUUGGGAGCCAGCUGGCCUGGUCCCAGCAGGAGGUAUCUGGGUUGAGGCCUCAGCACCAAGCGCUGUCCCCAGUUUCACGCCCGGCAUCAGCCCACAAUGGCUCAGCUGUCUCGCUAGCUGCCCACUGGACCUGGAACCAGCAGCUCCAGCCCAAGCACUCAGGCUGGUGAGUGUCUGGAUUCCAGACUAUGGGCACUGUCAGACAUGGAGCCCCCAGGAAAGAACUGGAACCUCUGGAGUAGGGAGACACAGUGCUACUGCUGUGGGCUUGGGAGGCUCCUGGAGGUUCUCCAGGCUCUCCAUCUACAAAGUAAGGCAAUGCCUCUACCAACCCUGAGUCCCAUGGGUGAGGGCAACCAGCAGAUUCUUGUUGCAACUGCCAGAGGGAAGGGUCUCUUUGGCCUAAGGAACUAAACAGACCCCCAAACACCUUGCAAGCACUGUGGGCAGCAGGAUGAUCUUGUGCCAGACCAGGCUAAGUGCUGACCAUCUGCCUGGCCUUGCACUGGAUAAAGUGGGACUGCCCUACAUGGUCCUCAACCAGAGGAAGAUGAAUUUCAGAAAGAAAUUCAAAACUUGUUCCUGGUUGUCAAGUGAAGACAGGGGCGAUGGCCACCCUGGGCGGGCCUUGAGCAAGAGCUCCAUAUAAUGCCUUAGAGACCUGUUCCUGUCCUACCACUCCCAGCAAGAGCAUCAUCCGUGCCUUUGGAGAUGACCUUGCUCUGGGCUGGCUGCUCAGAUCACCAGAGAGCCCCAGCCCCAGGUCUGGAAGUUACCACAGGGCAGCCUCCGGCAUGUCAGUGGCAGGACAACAGGCAUGUCAGGAAUCAACACAGGAUGCCCCCUUAUCAGGUCCAGCUCUUGGCAUCUCACCUGGACACUGCAGAAGCCAGGAACGAGGCACAGAUUCCUUGGUCAUCACGCCACGCAAAGGAGGAAGUCACCAGGUCCCAGUAAAUAUGCAUGGAACAGAAAUAAGGUCACUGCAAAACCACCCGCUCCCCUCACCCCAAGGCUUUGUUCAUAACUCAAGAUGUGUCCCACGUCGGGCAUUUCUGUCAGAUAAACUGGUUCCUCCAUCCAGUGAGCAGCCACUUUCUAAGCUGUGGUGGCUCUGGGAUACUGGGGGAGCUGCCAUCUUGGGACUCUUCAGGACUCCACGGUUACCUUUUCAAGUGGCUCCCUCACAUUAAACUAACUGUUGGUCACUGUACAAGCGUGGGCCCCACCCAGCGGGGAG
Molecule: long non-coding RNA, 1467 nt
Organism: Talpa occidentalis (Iberian mole)
Lineage: Eukaryota; Metazoa; Chordata; Mammalia; Eulipotyphla; Talpidae
Exons: 6
Source: RefSeq, a predicted model, not a curated record